UAUGCCUUGCUGCCUGAAAGCUGAUGAUGUUUACACACUGGACACGUUUGUGUGAUGGGCCAGCUGGGCGCGCUCCAGAGAAAACAGAAUCAAAAGAAAAGAUGGAAUUUGAGAGCUGAGCUGUUGGACUGUUAGCAGACAGGAAGAGWCGAGGAAAUGCAAGCAGCUGAUUGGACGACAGUCUUCAGUUCUCAUGAUGACAGGAAGUGGGAUUUUAUUCGUUUCUUCUCACAUUUAUAUCAGACUGGGAACUCUUAGAGCAGAUUAUAAAAAACUGCUUUAGCCCAUUAAAGUCAAAUAUUUAUAUCUGA
This is a long non-coding RNA of Austrofundulus limnaeus, 311 nucleotides long. RefSeq lists it as uncharacterized. The transcript is spliced from 2 exons. The record is from RefSeq and is a predicted model, not a curated record. Lineage: Eukaryota; Metazoa; Chordata; Actinopteri; Cyprinodontiformes; Rivulidae.